UGAACGCUGGCGGCGUGCCUAAUACAUGCAAGUCGCGCGAACAGACGAGGAGCUUGCUCCUCUGACGUUAGCGGCGGACGGGUGAGUAACACGUGGAUAACCUACCUAUAAGACUGGGAUAACUUCGGGAAACCGGAGCUAAUACCGGAUAAUAUAUUGAACCGCAUGGUUCAAUAGUGAAAGACGGUUUUGCUGUCACUUAUAGAUGGAUCCGCGCCGCAUUAGCUAGUUGGUAAGGUAACGGCUUACCAAGGCAACGAUGCGUAGCCGACCUGAGAGGGUGAUCGGCCACACUGGAACUGAGACACGGUCCAGACUCCUACGUGAGGCAGCAGUAGGGAAUCUUCCGCAAUGGGCGAAAGCCUGACGGAGCAACGCCGCGUGAGUGAUGAAGGUCUUCGGAUCGUAAAACUCUGUUAUUAGGGAAGAACAAAUGUGUAAGUAACUAUGCACGUCUUGACGGUACCUAAUCAGAAAGCCACGGCUAACUACGUG
RNAcentral lists this ribosomal RNA (495 nucleotides) under uncultured bacterium. Its description in RNAcentral is "partial 16S ribosomal RNA". It matches the Rfam family "Bacterial small subunit ribosomal RNA", at positions 30 to 507 of the family's 1533-position model. The record is from RNAcentral.